GAAAGGAUGACCCAGGUUUUAGAUUGACUAUUUUUUGAGCUAUGGAGCUCCUUUGAGACUGCUGUCCAGAUCAGCUCGUUGCUACUGGUAUUCGAAGAUUCUCAGGAGUCCAAGUUGUACUUUUGCUUGUAGCCUAAUUUAAAAAUGAGAUGUUUUGCAUCUGAGCAAAAACCUUUUGCUGGAUACAGGAAAAGGCUGGACUCUGAUCUAGUUAUCUUUUGAUUACAGCAACAGCUCUGGGUGAGAAUAGAAUUUAUAGAGGAAUAAUCUGUGAAGCCAUAGAAAGAAACCCUAAAUUAAUCUAGUGAGUAUAUGGCCUCUCACCAUUUUAGGAGGCACCAGAUUCAUUUGCACUAUUAGGAAUGCUAGUUUUGUGCAAAAAUAAAUGCCUUACCUGUUUCCCCCCACAUUUAGGUUGAAAAGCUUUCAAAUGUUCCAAGUUAUGCUGAACCAAAAACAAAUAAAACAAAAUGAAAAAAAAAAAAAAAAAUAAUAAUAAAAAAUUUCCCCCACAAAAACAUAACAAAAAAAAAAAAAGCCCACACGUUUAAUUACUGCUUUGAAAUGCAAUGGUAUAGAGCACGGUUUCUGACAGUGUAAUGAUAGCUUUGUAAGUUAGUUCAUGUCAUGCUGGGAACUCUGUAUGAGGCGGCCACAGGCAGCAGCAGCCCACCUACCUACCCACUUGCAUUCUAUUAGUAUUGAGCUUUUUUGUUUGUUUGUUUGUUCUUUUGAAUCUUCCUUGUGCAUCCUGACCAAGAAAUAUCUUUGAUUAUGAUCAAUGUAUUAUGUCAAAAUGUAGGCUAGUUGAACUUUUGUAAAGUUGCCUGGAAUGUCAUUUGUUAGGUUAUAAACACAAAAUUUAAAUGAAGGGUUUUAUGUGUUGUGUACAAAUCUUAAUUAUUUUAAAAUGGACAGACUUGUCAUUACAUUUGUAACCUUGUACAGAGGAUUUUUCACUAUGUGCCUAGCUUGGUGUCCAUUCAACUAAAAUUGAAAAAAAAAAGGUGCAUGAAGAGUUAAAAUCAGAAGUUAAACAAAGUCUAUGUAGAGAUGACUAUUUUAUAUUACAUGGCCCAAUCCUGUAUUUAUUUCUACCCCCUUUUUGAAAGUAUUUAUAAAACUAGUUGAAGACAGCUGUAUUUUUUUGUUGAACUAUUUAGUAGAAUUUGUGCCUUUUUGUCUGUAUGUGAAUAAAUGCUGUACAUUUUGCAAU
Molecule: long non-coding RNA, 1216 nt
Filed under: Mus musculus (house mouse)
Lineage: Eukaryota; Metazoa; Chordata; Mammalia; Rodentia; Muridae
Description: long non-coding RNA chr3:41615639-41616855
Source: RNAcentral